RNAcentral lists this ribosomal RNA (431 nucleotides) under uncultured bacterium. RNAcentral describes it as "partial 16S ribosomal RNA". It matches the Rfam family "Bacterial small subunit ribosomal RNA", at positions 29 to 507 of the family's 1533-position model. The record is from RNAcentral.
AACAAACGCUGGCGGCAGGCUUAACACAUGCAAGUCGAGCGCCCCGCAAGGGGAGCGGCAGCCGGGUGAGUAACGCGUGGGAACGUACCUUUUGGUUCGGAACAACUCCGGGAAACUGGAGCUAAUACCGGAUAAGCCCUAACGGGGAAAGAUUUAUCGCCGAAAGAUCGGCCCGCGUCUGAUUAGCUAGUUGGUGAGGUAACGGCUCACCAAGGCGACGAUCAGUAGCUGGUCUGAGAGGAUGAUCAGCCACACUGGGACUGAGACACGGCCCAGACUCCUACGGGAGGCAGCAGUGGGGAAUAUUGGACAAUGGGCGCAAGCCUGAUCCAGCCAUGCCGCGUGAGUGAUGAAGGCCUUAGGGUUGUAAAGCUCUUUUGUCCGGGAAGAUAAUGACUGUACCGGAAGAAUAAGCCCCGGCUAACUUCGUG